This 502-nucleotide ribosomal RNA is filed under the name uncultured bacterium. RNAcentral describes it as "bacterial SSU rRNA". It matches the Rfam family "Bacterial small subunit ribosomal RNA", at positions 9 to 507 of the family's 1533-position model. The record is from RNAcentral.
CGAGUUUGAUCCUGGCUCAGAUUGAACGCUGGCGGCAUGCCUUACACAUGCAAGUCGAACGGUAACAGGUCUUCGGAUGCUGACGAGUGGCGAACGGGUGAGUAAUACAUCGGAACGUGCCCGAUCGUGGGGGAUAACGAAGCGAAAGCUUUGCUAAUACCGCAUACGAUCUACGGAUGAAAGCAGGGGACCGCAAGGCCUUGCGCGAACGGAGCGGCCGAUGGCAGAUUAGGUAGUUGGUGGGAUAAAAGCUUACCAAGCCGACGAUCUGUAGCUGGUCUGAGAGGACGACCAGCCACACUGGGACUGAGACACGGCCCAGACUCCUACGGGAGGCAGCAGUGGGGAAUUUUGGACAAUGGGCGCAAGCCUGAUCCAGCCAUGCCGCGUGAGUGAAGAAGGCCUUCGGGUUGUAAAGCUCUUUCAGCCGGGAAGAAAACGCAUGGGUUAAUACCCUGUGUGGAUGACGGUACCGGAAUAAGAAGCACCGGCUAACUACGUG